This 432-nucleotide unclassified non-coding RNA is filed under the name soil metagenome. RNAcentral's name for it is "partial contains 5.8S ribosomal RNA, internal transcribed spacer 2, and large subunit ribosomal RNA". The stretch from base 1 to 120 matches the Rfam family "5.8S ribosomal RNA", at positions 35 to 154 of the family's 154-position model. The record is from RNAcentral.
GAUGAAGAACGUAGCGAAAUGCGAUACGUAAUGUGAAUUGCAGAAUUCAGUGAAUCAUCGAAUCUUUGAACGCAUAUUGCGCUCUCUGGUAUUCCGGAGAGCAUGCUUGUUUGAGUAUCAGUAAACACCUCAACUCCCUUUUCUUUUUUGAAAUGGGAGCUGGACUUGAGUGAUCCCAACACUUUUCUCACUGGAAAGUGGCGGGUCACUUGAAAUGCAGGUGCAGCUGGACUUUUCUCUGAGCUAUAAGCAUAUCUAUUUAGUCUGCCUAAAAAACAGAUUAUUACCUUUGCUGCAGCUAACAUAAAGGAGAUGAGUUCUUGUGCUGACUGAUGCAGGAUUCACAGAGACAGCUUUGCGGCUGACUUUGUAAACUCGAUCUCAAAUCAAGUAAGACUACCCGCUGAACUUAAGCAUAUCAAUAGCGGAGGA